Long non-coding RNA from Peromyscus californicus insignis, 948 nucleotides. RefSeq lists it as uncharacterized. The record is from RefSeq and is a predicted model, not a curated record. The transcript is spliced from 2 exons. Lineage: Eukaryota; Metazoa; Chordata; Mammalia; Rodentia; Cricetidae.
UGAGAGUCUGUGUUAGUCCCGGAGCUGGGAAGUCUGAGAUGAAGGGGCUGGCCUGUAGAUGGUAGUCUGCGUCUUCCCGUGGGUUUUUCCUCUGUGCCUGUCAGCACCUGCCAGGGCAAUGCAAAGGAAUGCCAUCAACUUCUAGUUAGGACAAGGGAGACUUGGAAAUUUGGAGGGAAAGGACAGAAUAUAAUUAGAGGAUAAUGUCACUGGACUUAGAAAUGUAGCCGAAUUCUUGGAUUCAGUGGGAGUUUAUUGGAAUUCUUGGAAUGAAUUUGAAUUCAAACCUAGCCUGAUUGUGUAUUUUCUCCAGAGCAUGUUCAGCUGCUUAGGUUCAAGAGUGCAGCUCACAGGGGUUGACUAAGGGAGGAGAGACAGGGCGGAUUCCUGCAUGGGAAGAGCUAUAUCGAUUUCUUAUGGAAUUUAAGGGAUGAAUGAGACAGUAGCAUCAACAGAACUGGAGGUGACAAUGUGUCAGAAAAUUUGGGACUUGGAGUACCUGUGUAAGCAUUUGGCAUCAGGAAACACCCAGCAUGUUUACUACGACAUCAACAAGCGGCUUACUGUGUCUUUUAUGGUCUCUCCAGAAUAACUGGAACUGCUCAGGUGUUCUUAUUAAAAAUUAACUGUGUCACUUUAAGAAUGAACUCGCUUGUAGGACUUUCCUUACAUAUCAGUGAGAUAGGAUGCUAUACACAUGUGCAAUUAAAUACUUAAUGUCUCAAAAACGUGGCUUUUUUCUUCUCUGCCAUUUCCAAAUGACUUACGAGGCUUUCUCUUUCACUCUUCUUUUCUUUUUGGCUACAUUCAUGUGUGCAAAAAUUAUUUAGGUAACCGUUGAUAUAGCAUAUUAAAUGAAUGACAUUUUUGGAAUGUUUGUUAUCUGACAUCUGUAAACUACUUCAUGCUUUUUAUAUCAGGUAUAUUAAAAUCACUUUGGAAGUUUAA